This 262-nucleotide ribosomal RNA is filed under the name unidentified marine bacterioplankton. Its description in RNAcentral is "partial 16S ribosomal RNA". It matches the Rfam family "Bacterial small subunit ribosomal RNA", at positions 75 to 339 of the family's 1533-position model. The record is from RNAcentral.
UCUCUUCGGAGACUCUAGAGUGGCGCACGGGUGGGUAACGCGUAGAUAAUCUACCUCCUGAUCUGGAACAACCCUUCGAAAGGAGGGCUAAUGCCGGAUAAUACACUGGCUCUGGUGAGCUGAUGUUGAAAGAUUUAUCGUCAGGAGAUGAGUCUGCGUACCAUUAGCUUGUUGGUGGGGUAACGGCCUACCAAGGCGACGAUGGUUAGCGGGUCUGAGAGGAUGAUCCGCCACACUGGAACUGAGACACGGUCCAGACUCC